CCUACGGGAGGCAGCAGUGGGGAAUCUUGCGCAAUGGGCGAAAGCCUGACGCAGCCAUGCCGCGUGAAUGAUGAAGGUCUUAGGAUUGUAAAAUUCUUUCACCGGGGACGAUAAUGACGGUACCCGGAGAAGAAGCCCCGGCUAACUUCGUGCCAGCAGCCGCGGUAAUACGAAGGGGGCUAGCGUUGCUCGGAAUUACUGGGCGUAAAGGGAGCGUAGGCGGAUAGUUUAGUCAGAGGUGAAAGCCCAGGGCUCAACCUUGGAAUUGCCUUUGAUACUGGCUAUCUUGAGUACGGAAGAGGUAUGUGGAACUCCGAGUGUAGAGGUGAAAUUCGUAGAUAUUCGGAAGAACACCAGUGGCGAAGGCGACAUACUGGUCCGUUACUGACGCUGAGGCUCGAAAGCGUGGGGAGCAAACAGGAUUAGAUACCCUGGUAGUCCACGCUGUAAGCGAUGAGUGCUAGUUGUCGGCAUGCAUGCAUGUCGGUGACGCAGCUAACGCAUUAAGCACUCCGCCUGGGGAGUACGGUCGCAAGAUUAAAACUUAAAAGGAAUUAGAGG
Molecule: ribosomal RNA, 561 nt
Filed under: uncultured bacterium
Lineage: Bacteria
Description: bacterial SSU rRNA
Rfam family: Bacterial small subunit ribosomal RNA
Source: RNAcentral